Neoarius graeffei (lesser salmon catfish) is the source of this 1357-nucleotide long non-coding RNA. RefSeq lists it as uncharacterized. The record is from RefSeq and is a predicted model, not a curated record. Lineage: Eukaryota; Metazoa; Chordata; Actinopteri; Siluriformes; Ariidae. The transcript is spliced from 4 exons.
GCGGAGUCAGGGAAGGUAAGUGGCAGAAUCACUGCACCUGCUGUCAGCUAACCUGCAUUUGUGUGUCUUCCCCAGUGACCGCGCCCUAUAAAAGGAGAGAGUGAGCAGAGGAAGGGAGCUCUCUCCCCAACCAGACGACUUGUGUGUAUACAGAGGACCUUGAAGAGCUGUUCAGGCCGAGGAGUACAGAUCCACGGCAAAACACCAGAUCAGACAAUUAUCAGAGAAAGAUUCUGAUUAAGACAGUAGUGAGACCAGCUGUGAUGUAUGGAUCGGAGACCGUACCCUUAACGAAGAGACAGGAGGCAAAGUUGGAGGUGGCAGAGUUGAGGAUGUUAAGGUUUGCGACAGGAGUGACGAGGUUGGACAGGAUAAGGAACGAGCACAUCAGAGAGACAGCACAUGUGGAGAGCUUGGGAAUUAAGCUAAGAGAGAUGAGACUGAGAUGGUAUGGGCACAUCCUGAGAAGAGAUGCUGAUCAUGUUGGAAGGAGAAUGUUGAGGAUGGAGCUGCCAGGCAAACGAAAACGAGGAAGGCCAAAGAGGAGAUACAUGGAUGUGGUGAGAGAGGACAUGAAAGUGGCAGGUGUGGUAGAGAAGGAUGCGGAAGACAGGGAGCAAUGGAGACGAAAGAUCCACUGUGGCGACCCCUAAUCGGGAGCAGCCAAAAGAAGAAGAAGAAUCAGAGAGAGGUUCUGAUGUGCCUAGAUGAAAUUGUGCAGAAUUAUCUGUAGGCUCGCACUGCUGUGGCUGCAACAACUAAGGAGACAACUACUGUACUAACCCACGAUUCAUCUGAUUCGGAAACCAGAGACAGCUGUUAUGCCUCAGUCACAACUGGCCGUACGUGCUCCUACGGCCGGUCUAUGUGCAAAAAACACAAGAAACGCGCAGAAGGCGCGCGUGAAACGCACGGAGGGCGUGCGUGUGACAUGCUGAUUUUCGAGGCGCAGACCGGCCGCAGAGGUUCUUUGUCAUGUCAAACAAACUCUACGGGUGCUUACGUUUUUUUCAGGUUGCAAGACACUUACGGCCAAUGUGCGUCUUUCUCCACGAACAAAAAAAAUGCAGCGAUUUGGGAAACGCCAAAAAUCGCACGGCCAAAAAAUCGUACGUCCGGUUGUGACCUAGGCUUUAGCUCUUUCACUACUAGAUUUUUCUAUUAUUGAAUACUGGUUCACCAUUAAAUAUUUUCUAGAGCCAGAACAAAAAUAAUGGUUGGCAUGUGUGUAAAUAUUGCAGUCAGUCUCUGUAGGUUUUUAUGUCAUUUUAGUGUAAUGUAAUAUCUGACCAGCGGCCAUCAUAAAAGUGCAGAACAAUACCUUUAAGUUCCUUUGCAUAUUCAUGAUUACAUUUGA